This 384-nucleotide ribosomal RNA is filed under the name uncultured Methanomicrobiales archaeon. RNAcentral's name for it is "bacterial SSU rRNA". It matches the Rfam family "Archaeal small subunit ribosomal RNA", at positions 959 to 1338 of the family's 1478-position model. The record is from RNAcentral. Lineage: Archaea; Methanobacteriati; Methanobacteriota; Methanomicrobia; Methanomicrobiales.
CUGAAGACUCUACUUGACUAGCUGAGAGGAGGUGCAUGGCCGUCGUCAGUUCGUACUGUGAAGCAUCCUGUUAAGUCAGGGCAACGAGCGAGACCCACGCCAACAGUUGCCAGCUCGUCCUCCGGGAUGGUGGGGACACUGUUGGGACCGCCUCUGCUAAAGGAGGAGGAAGGAAUGGGCAACGGUAGGUCAGCAUGCCCCGAAUUAUCUGGGCUACACGCGGGCUACAAUGGGUGGGGACAAUGGGUAUCGACACCGAAAGGUGAAGGGCAAUCUCCUAAACCCAUCCGUAGUUCGGAUUGUGGGCUGCAACUCGCCCACAUGAAGCUGGAAUCUGUAGUAAUCGUGUCUCAAAAUGGCACGGUGAAUAUGUCCCUGCUCCUU